RNAcentral lists this ribosomal RNA (1431 nucleotides) under uncultured organism. RNAcentral's name for it is "SSU rRNA". It matches the Rfam family "Bacterial small subunit ribosomal RNA". The record is from RNAcentral.
GCUAGCUACAGGCUUAACACAUGCAAGUCGAGGGGCAGCAUUUCAGUUUGCUUGCAAACUGGAGAUGGCGACCGGCGCACGGGUGAGUAACACGUAUCCAACCUGCCGAUAACUCGGGGAUAGCCUUUCGAAAGAAAGAUUAAUACCCGAUGGUAUAAUCAGACCGCAUGGUCUUGUUAUUAAAGAAUUUCGGUUAUCGAUGGGGAUGCGUUCCAUUAGGCAGUUGGUGAGGUAACGGCUCACCAAACCUUCGAUGGAUAGGGGUUCUGAGAGGAAGGUCCCCCACAUUGGAACUGAGACACGGUCCAAACUCCUACGGGAGGCAGCAGUGAGGAAUAUUGGUCAAUGGGCGCAGGCCUGAACCAGCCAAGUAGCGUGAAGGAUGACUGCCCUAUGGGUUGUAAACUUCUUUUAUAUGGGAAUAAAGUUUUCCACGUGUGGAAUUUUGUAUGUACCAUAUGAAUAAGGAUCGGCUAACUCCGUGCCAGCAGCCGCGGUAAUACGGAGGAUCCGAGCGUUAUCCGGAUUUAUUGGGUUUAAAGGGAGCGUAGGUGGACAGUUAAGUCAGUUGUGAAAGUUUGCGGCUCAACCGUAAAAUUGCUGUUGAUACUGGCUGUCUUGAGUACAGUAGAGGUGGGCGGAAUUCGUGGUGUAGCGGUGAAAUGCUUAGAUAUCACGAAGAACUCCGAUUGCGAAGGCAGCUCACUGGACUGCAACUGACACUGAUGCUCGAAAGUGUGGGUAUCAAACAGGAUUAGAUACCCUGGUAGUCCACACAGUAAACGAUGAAUACUCGCUGUUUGCGAUAUACAGUAAGCGGCCAAGCGAAAGCAUUAAGUAUUCCACCUGGGGAGUACGCCGGCAACGGUGAAACUCAAAGGAAUUGACGGGGGCCCGCACAAGCGGAGGAACAUGUGGUUUAAUUCGAUGAUACGCGAGGAACCUUACCCGGGCUUAAAUUGCAUUUGAAUAAUCUGGAAACAGGUUAGCCGCAAGGCAAAUGUGAAGGUGCUGCAUGGUUGUCGUCAGCUCGUGCCGUGAGGUGUCGGCUUAAGUGCCAUAACGAGCGCAACCCUUAUCUUUAGUUACUAACAGGUCAUGCUGAGGACUCUAGAGAGACUGCCGUCGUAAGAUGUGAGGAAGGUGGGGAUGACGUCAAAUCAGCACGGCCCUUACGUCCGGGGCUACACACGUGUUACAAUGGGGGGUACAGAAGGCAGCUACCUGGUGACAGGAUGCUAAUCCCAAAAGCCUCUCUCAGUUCGGAUCGAAGUCUGCAACCCGACUUCGUGAAGCUGGAUUCGCUAGUAAUCGCGCAUCAGCCAUGGCGCGGUGAAUACGUUCCCGGGCCUUGUACACACCGCCCGUCAAGCCACGAAAGCCGGGGGUACCUGAAGUACGUAACCGCAAGGAGCGUCCUAGGGUAAAACU